CACUUUAAUGGCUACGUGCAACCCUAUCUUCUUUUCUUCUCGUAUAAGUUCUCCCCGAUUAAGACCUUCCUUGUCCUCAAGGAAGGAAUGUGGGAAAACAAAUCUUUAGAGCUUGAUAGCCUUCCCAAGUUGCGAGAUCUGAUGAUAACUUGUCCCAUCGAAUCUUUAGAGCAAUUGCCUUGUUCCCCUUUUGAAUCAUAGGUCUAUCCAAAAUUUUGUGUGCUGAGGGUAGUAAGGACUUGGUAGUUCUAGCACUGGUGGAUGAGAGAUGGUAUCUAGUAACUCGUAACAUCGCUUGAGCUGAGACACGUGAAAGGUAGGGUGCAACAAUAACUUUGGAUGAAGUGAGAGCUUGUAUGCUACGUGCUCUACCUUUUGCAACACUUGGUAAGGCCCACAAUACUUUGCUGAUAGCUUGGUAAAGUGUGACCCAAACAUGGUUAUUUGCAUGUAAGACUGAAUUUUUAAUUAUACCCAAUCCCGUUAUUGAAAUUUCCUGUCUGAUCUAUGUUUGUUAGCUUGCUCAGUCAUCCUCUGCUGAGUCCUUUGUAAAUGGUACUUCAACAAUUGUAACUCAAAUUCCCUUGUGAGCAGGCUCCUAUCAAAUUCCACUGAGUCAGAAUCACCAGCCAUAUAUAGAAGAUGCAAAGGUGGAGGUUGCCCAUAUAGUGUCUCACAGGGAAUACAUUAUAUUGAAGAGUGAAAUGUGGUGUUAUACUACCAUUGUGUUCAGGUCGAGGCUUUUCUUUUAAGAUCUGGGCAUUCAACUUGUAUAUGAUCAUAUUUUUCACUUUCAUAGCAUUUCCCCAUCGUUCUUUUCUUGUUCGUUGUAUUGUCUUGAUGUUCUUCUGGAGGACAUUCUCUACUUUUUGGUAUUCUCUGUAUCUUUUUGGAAACUAUAGCUAUUUCUUAUUCAAGUUACUCAGCUUCAUUUUUAUUUUCAUCUUCAGAUCCUUCAAUCGAGGUUUUAAAAGUAACAAUUUUCUUCUUUUCUUUCUGUCCUCGUUUUUUGAGAUGUGUUUUCUCAAAGGCAAUAAGAUCUCCUCGUAGUUCAUCAUAUGAUAGUUUGUCUAGAUCUUGAGAUUCAAGAGCUACUACUUUUAUUUGCCAAGUAGUAGGUAGACUUCUUAGAAUUUUUCGAACUUGCUCACCACUUGAAUAUGGUCUUUCAAAGGCCUUUAGAUCUCCAAUAAUUUUGCUGAAUCUAGCAAAUAUUUCCUCAAUGGAUUCACCUUCUUUCAUUUAAAAAAGUUCAUAGUCAUGGGUCAGCAGAUUUAUCCUUUUUUCCUUAACUUUGUUUGUCCCUUGAUAUGUGACUUCCAACUUAUCCUGCAUUUCUUUAGUAGUAUCACAGCUUUAGAUCUUCUCGUAUUCUUUUCCAGAUCGAUGGGUUCAGUAGAUGUUUGUCCAUUUGCCUUCUUGUCAGACUUUGCUGCUGGAAUUGGAUAGUCUCCCUUUUUUAUUACACGCCAAACUUUGACAUCAUAGGAUUUCGUAUAGAUUUCUAUGCGAACCUUCCAUUGUGAAAAGCGUUUUUCAUUGAAGUAUGGAGGCCUUACUUGUGAACUCCCUUCUUGAAAUAGAGCUCCGACAAUUACUUGCUUUGACAUGAUCUUUUCUCACUAGUUGUUAAGCAAAAUCAAAAUGCGAGACCUGCCUUGAUACCAAUUGAAAGUAGAAUGGGGGAGGGGGGUGAAUUGUUGAUUUUUCUUUUUAUAGGUAAGUAGUUGACUAGUUUACCAAUUAGUCAACUAGAGAUAGAUACAAGGCAAAAACUAAAUGCUGAAUGUAAAGUGCAGAAUUUAAAUGACACCAGAUAUUUUUAUAUUGGUGAGGAUUCAAUGUGAAUCCUACUCCAGUUCCCUUAGUUUGCAAGAGGGUUAUCUCUUCAAAGCUCCUUGAAAACUGGGUACACGUAUGUUGAUGUUAUCACGAACACCAAAUGUCGUUUUGGUUCUAAGUACACUUAAUUUGAUAUAAUGCUUCACCAAUAUUUUUUUCUCUUACACAGUAAAUCACACUUAGAUUACAAUGCUUGUUAGAGUAGAACAAAGAGCACAAAGUUGGUUUGAUCAAAGUAUAUCUCUUCUCUUGAUCGUCUCACUGUAUAUGUACUUUGAGGGCGCUGCUUUCAUUCUUGAUUAUGGCAGAUCUUGAGAGACUACAGACUCAAGGGAAUUGAUCUUUGGAAUGAAUUGUAAAAUGAUUUUUUCCAAGAAUAAGUGUUGAGCUUCCGUUAAUUUUGCCUUGGCUUGUGGUCUUGAUAGAGCUUCCCAUCGUUGAGCAGAUCCUUUCUUCAUUCGAACAGCGUGAAGUAUAUAGAUCCUUUGAUUUCGGGAGUUAGGCAUCUUCCUUUGAUAGGUGAAUCUUCAGUUAGAUAUAUCAAGCGAAUUCUAAGCAAUCUCGAUUUCCUCUGCUUUUGGUCAUUCCUUUAAUAUCUUCCUUUCAAACGGGUUGUCCGAUCUAAAAAAACCUUUCUCUCACUUUUUGUUACUCCUUCCUUUCCUGUCUUCCUUUGCGCAUAUUUGACAAUCUUCCUUUCCUUUGCUCCUGGAGUGUCCCUACAAUAAUCAAGGAUGUGUUAUUUUUCAUCAUUAAAAUGCGAGUCUAACAUAUACUUCCAGAUCUACCUCGUUUUAUACCAGUACAAAUCAAGUUAAUUAGACUAGCAAUAUGAGAAAAUAACUUGAUAUGCUAUAGUACAAAUUUUCAGUAAGGCAAUUAAAGAACAUAGAAAUAACUGGUUUUAUAUUUUCCAGCUGAAUGAGAAAACUGAUUGGUUUGUGAAAGUGAGGUUUCCGAGCAUGAGGUCUAUUCUAAGUCACUUAAAGAAUGUCACUAGAUAUACGUGUCCAGAUCUUGAUGCAUGUGCAUGCAAGUCCGUACGGGACUAGGUCUGACCAGUGAACUGCUUCUCGUCAAGUUCCUCCUGAUCAGGUAUAUGCAUCUUCUGUUUUUCUGGAUGCUGGUGAACUCGGCUUCUCAACCUAUUGUUUCGAGGGAUAGCCUCUCCUAGUCUGACGUCAGUGGACCACUCAAGUUUCUACGGGGACAUGAAGCGAGCAAUAAUAUGAAGUCUUCCACACAAGAAGAUGAAAUUCCACAGGUGAAAAUAGAGGAAGGACGCGGGGGUGAAGAAUCAGAAAAUGAAAUCGGUGAUAAAGCAAUAAAGCAAGAAGAUAGAAGAAAAAAGUGAUGAUGAGGAAGAAAAGAUGCAACAGUGUAGGCCAACAUGAAUAGAAAGAGAAAAGAUAUACUCCGUACUAGCUAGCUUAAUAUAUACAUACUGCAAAAAAGGCAAAAUUUGCAUGGGCUAGUACGUAUCCCGAUUUCGGAGCCUAUCUUGAAGGCACAGGUGUGGAUGCAUGCGCAUUAGAGAUCCUGACUUGGUUGAUCAUAUGCUCGAGAACAUUGAUGGUUAUCUUUUUCCUGGAG
RNAcentral lists this long non-coding RNA (3435 nucleotides) under Nicotiana tabacum (common tobacco). Its description in RNAcentral is "long non-coding RNA (NTAB_LNC009690)". The record is from RNAcentral. Lineage: Eukaryota; Viridiplantae; Streptophyta; Magnoliopsida; Solanales; Solanaceae.